UGCUGCGGUAGUGUAGUGGUUAACGUUCCCGACUUUAAUGUUUAGGGGUCCAAGGUUCGAUGCCUGGCGUGGAAA
Meloidogyne enterolobii is the source of this 75-nucleotide non-coding RNA. The record is from the annotation of a GenBank genome assembly. NCBI's taxonomy places the organism in Eukaryota, Metazoa, Nematoda, Chromadorea, Rhabditida, Meloidogynidae.